Pezoporus occidentalis (night parrot) is the source of this 390-nucleotide long non-coding RNA. RefSeq lists it as uncharacterized. The record is from RefSeq and is a predicted model, not a curated record. The transcript is spliced from 3 exons. NCBI's taxonomy places the organism in Eukaryota, Metazoa, Chordata, Aves, Psittaciformes, Psittacidae.
AUCACCUUUUCUACAUACAUCUCCAGGCAAAGGUAGGACCAGUUAUUAAAUAUGUUUGGCUGUUAAUGGGAAGCUGAUGGGAGGUAUCAGUAUUAUUCUUUCCUUCUAUCACCCUCUGCUCUGGGAAAAGUGCUUGCUGCCAUAGCAACCCCUGGUCAAAAGGAAAUUUCCAUUGAUAUCAGAAGGAGCAGCAUUUCACCCAGGAAGAAAGUGUGGCUACAGCAUGGCAACAGAUCUUUAUGAGAACUGUAUCUGGAUUUCUCAGUGGCAAAUGGCAGGACUGAGUAAAGGAAAAACCACCAGAACUGCUGCUCACUUUCUGCCUUCUACAUGCAUCACUUAACGCCAGACAAAAGCAAGACACAAAACAACAGAAGACUGUAAAGGACC